RNAcentral lists this ribosomal RNA (445 nucleotides) under uncultured bacterium. RNAcentral describes it as "bacterial SSU rRNA". It matches the Rfam family "Bacterial small subunit ribosomal RNA", at positions 330 to 792 of the family's 1533-position model. The record is from RNAcentral.
ACCAGACUCCUACGGGAGGCAGCAGUGGGGAAUAUUGCACAAUGGGGGAAACCCUGAUGCAGCGACGCCGCGUGAGCGAUGAAGUAUUUCGGUAUGUAAAGCUCUAUCAGCAGGGAAGAAAAUGACGGUACCUGACUAAGAAGCCCCGGCUAACUACGUGCCAGCAGCCGCGGUAAUACGUAGGGGGCAAGCGUUAUCGGUAUUUACUGGGUGUAAAGGGAGCGUAGACGGCUGUGCAAGCCAGAUGUGAAAGCCCGGGGCUCAACCCCGGGACUGCAUUUGGAACUGCGUGGCUUGGGUGUCGGAGAGGCAGGCGGAAUUCCUAGUGUAGCGGUGAAAUGCGUAGAUAUACGGAGGAACACCAGUGGCGAGGGCGGCCUGCUGGACAUUAACUGACGCUGAGGCGCGAAAGCGUGGGGAGCAAACAGGAUUAGAUACCCCAGUA